GACAGGUGUGGUAGCCCAUAUCUGUAAUCCCAGCUACUUGGGAGGCUGAGGCAAGAGGAUCACAAGUUCAAGGCCAGCUUCAGCAACUUAGUGAGCCCCUGUCUCCA
Molecule: small RNA, 107 nt
Filed under: Marmota monax (woodchuck)
Lineage: Eukaryota; Metazoa; Chordata; Mammalia; Rodentia; Sciuridae
Source: RNAcentral